UGGGGAAUAUUGCACAAUGGGCGCAAGCCUGAUGCAGCCAUGCCGCGUGUGUGAAGAAGGCCUUCGGGUUGUAAAGCACUUUCAGCGAGGAGGAAGGGUAGUGUGUUAAUAGCACAUUGCAUUGACGUUACUCGCAGAAGAAGCACCGGCUAACUCCGUGCCAGCAGCCGCGGUAAUACGGAGGGUGCAAGCGUUAAUCGGAAUUACUGGGCGUAAAGCGCACGCAGGCGGUUUGUUAAGUCAGAUGUGAAAUCCCCGCGCUUAACGUGGGAACUGCAUUUGAAACUGGCAAGCUAGAGUCUUGUAGAGGGGGGUAGAAUUCCAGGUGUAGCGGUGAAAUGCGUAGAGAUCUGGAGGAAUACCGGUGGCGAAGGCGGCCCCCCUGGACAAAGACUGACGCUCAGGUGCGAAAGCGU
RNAcentral lists this ribosomal RNA (416 nucleotides) under uncultured bacterium. RNAcentral's name for it is "partial 16S ribosomal RNA". It matches the Rfam family "Bacterial small subunit ribosomal RNA", at positions 355 to 762 of the family's 1533-position model. The record is from RNAcentral.